This is a long non-coding RNA of Eubalaena glacialis (North Atlantic right whale), 1374 nucleotides long. RefSeq lists it as uncharacterized. The transcript is spliced from 5 exons. The record is from RefSeq and is a predicted model, not a curated record. Lineage: Eukaryota; Metazoa; Chordata; Mammalia; Artiodactyla; Balaenidae.
GGUUCCUCCGUGAGACGGUGCUGUGAGGGUGGGUGCCCAGCUGUGUGCGCAGCGUGUGUGCCAGGCUGAGCAGCUGGCACGGGGUGGGCAGUUCAGUGAGAUUAAGUACCUUCACAUUGUUGUACGAUCACCACCACCGUCCGUCUCCACACCUUUUGCAUCAUUCCUGUACUCGUGAAAUGAUAACUCCUCCUCUCCCUUCACCCAGCCUUGAUUUACCCUCCAUCGUCUCCUGUGUGGGGAGCCAUCUUCAAAUUCUCCAGGAUCUGGGAGAAAAAUCCAACAUCUGUCUGUAUAUCCACGUGCUGCUGCCCUGCUACCGGCUCCUGGUACAUACCUCAGCUGGUGGUGCCCAGAAGGGAGAUACAAGAUUCCCUGUGCCCGGAGCUCUCUUUCUGGCCCUUGUCAUCUUGGAGCCACUGGACUCAUCCUGAAGACUCUGCUCAAUUGUCAUGUCCUCAGUGAAGCCUCCUGCAAGCACCCGCCCCAGCCGAUGAGUCACUUCUGUGUCCCUGCAGCUGCUGCUAAGAUCUGUCACAUCAAUCCUCCCAGGCCUGGUUCCCCACUCAACCCCAGGCUUCUCAGGGUCUGAGAUUUAAAACUUCACCCCAAUCACAGAUGUUCGGUGUUUCUAGCAAACCUGAGCUCAGCAAAUGCUUGUUGAAUGAACAGAUGAGUUUCCUCUGCCGCCGGGCCCUGUGCCAGGUUAUUUAUGUGAAAAUUGUGAGGAACCUUCUGUUGGAUAUUCCAGGCUUCUUCUAGGGACAAAGAGUAGCCAGGUGAAAAUGGAGAAGUCAGACUGUCCCUUCUCAGACCCUACUGUGGCUCUCUUUACUCUGAACAAAAGCUGGUCUCGGACUUCCCUGGUGACGCAGUGGUUAAGAAUCUGCCUGCCAAUGCAGGGGACACGGGUUCGAGCCCUGGUCUGGGAAGAUCCCACAUGCCGUGCGGAGCAACUAAGCCCAUGCGCCACAACUACUGAGCCUGCGCUCUAGAGCCCGCGAGCCACAACUACUAAGCCCAGGUGACACAACUACUAAAGCCUGCGCGCCUAGAGCCCGUGCUCUGCAACAAGAGAAGCCACCGCAAUGAGAAGCCCGCGCACCGCAACAAAGAGUAGCCCCCGCUUGCCACAGCUAGAGAAAGCCCGUGCACAGCAACGAAGACCCAACGCAGCCAAAAAUAAAAAAAUAAAUAAAUCAAAACCCCAAAUAACCAAAAAAACCCCAAAAUGGCCUGGUCUCUAUCCCAGCAACUCAGAGAGCUUCAGUCUCUGGUCAAGGUCACGGAGCUUAUGUUGAGGACAGAAUCAGGACCCAAACCCAGCCAGCCUGGCUCCAAAGCUGAUGCUCUUUCAUUGAGCUCCUGCCUUGU